GAUGAACGCUGGCGGCGUGCCUAAUACAUGCAAGUCGAGCGAACAGACGAGGAGCUUGCUCCUCUGACGUUAGCGGCGGACGGGUGAGUAACACGUGGAUAACCUACCUAUAAGGCUGGGAUAACUUCGGGAAACCGGAGCUAAUACCGGAUAAUAUAUUGAACCGCAUGGUUCAAUAGUGAAAGACGGUUUUGCUGUCACUUAUAGAUGGAUCCGCGCCGCAUUAGCUAGUUGGUAAGGUAACGGCUUACCAAGGCAACGAUGCGUAGCCGACCUGAGAGGGUGAUCGGCCACACUGGAACUGAGACACGGUCCAGACUCCUACGGGAGGCAGCAGUAGGGAAUCUUCCGCAAUGGGCGAAAGCCUGACGGAGCAACGCCGCGUGAGUGAUGAAGGUCUUCGGAUCGUAAAACUCUGUUAUUAGGGAAGAACAAAUGCGUAAGUAACUAUGCACGUCUUGACGGUACCUAAUCAGAAAGCCACGGCUAACUACGUG
Molecule: ribosomal RNA, 497 nt
Filed under: uncultured bacterium
Lineage: Bacteria
Description: partial 16S ribosomal RNA
Rfam family: Bacterial small subunit ribosomal RNA
Source: RNAcentral